Phasianus colchicus (ring-necked pheasant) is the source of this 1133-nucleotide long non-coding RNA. RefSeq lists it as uncharacterized. NCBI's taxonomy places the organism in Eukaryota, Metazoa, Chordata, Aves, Galliformes, Phasianidae. The record is from RefSeq and is a predicted model, not a curated record.
AAGUAGUUGAGUCCUGUCAUGAAGUGGAAGGAUUUAGCAGUCUGCAUCUGGUGUGCUGGCAAGGCUUUCCCAGAUGAUUUACAACACUGGUAACAAACAGCUAGUUCAUAUUUUCAUUCCCUGGCUUAACAGCAUUCUUAUUUGGAACGUGAAGUUUCUGAACAAAAAUACUUUUCCUUUGAUUAAACAGAAAAGAACUUAUUCCAAGGAGUGAGAGCUCAGAAAGUAUCUCUACGAGUUGACAGCUUCCAGACUCUUCUCUGUAGUAGCUGUCAUCUACUUUGGUGCAGAUCUCUAGCUGCAAGACAAAAUUAGACACAGGUGCAGACUAUAAAGAACAAUGCAUCAUCUUUUCCUACUUAUAGUCACUUCUCCUACACAGUGGGAUAGAAGACAAGUGAGAUGAAAUCCUGGUUUUCUCUGAAGUUUGUAGGAAAUCUUUUGAAGGUAGUGAGGCCUGAUUUUUACCUAAGUGAUAUGGAUGAACCGAAAGAACAUGAACAUUGAGGUGAGGAGCUUCUUGCCAUCUGAUUGCUCACUAGAACACCUGAGGUUGACCUAGCGGCCUCAAGAUACUUAGAAGUACAUUCCUCAAAGAACAUUACUGCAGUCAUAAAACCUGUUCAUAUUUUUAAAAGCAACAAAGAAGGUUGGGGAAGCAGAAGGAUGAGGAGCCAGGCCUGAAGGGACUGUUAAAGAGUGAUAUAUGUACCCUGGGAAAGUCUAGCAAGCAUUACCAGUGUGUGUGUGUGUGUGAGCUGAUGGAGUGAAUGAGUAUGUGGCACAGGGCUAACGUGGGAAAAGGUAAUGACCACUUCAGAAAGAGAGAGCUGGAAGAGCCACUCAUCAAGAUCCUGUCUCUCCUGUUGAAGAGCAACCUAAGCGCUGACUACUACACCUCAGGGAACUCACUGAUGUGUGUGUUAAUCACCAACAUAGGGUAUCAGAUCAUUUGUGGCUUAAUCUGUUUAGCUGCACUUGCAUCAAACAUAUGCUUGUUGGCAAACAUUUCCAAUGUCCUUCCUCAUGUCCUUCAUGUUGCCUUCUUAACAUAAACCAACUUUCGUGACAGCUGGCUUCAAACAUUGGUAAAAAAUAUCAGCUAAAUAAAGUCCACUGGUUUGUUCUUAGUA